This 697-nucleotide small RNA is filed under the name Pongo abelii (Sumatran orangutan). Its description in RNAcentral is "retained intron". Lineage: Eukaryota; Metazoa; Chordata; Mammalia; Primates; Hominidae. The record is from RNAcentral.
CCAGCUCUUGCCGCCGCCUCGGUCGCGAUGGGGGCGCAGGACCGGCCGCAGUGCCACUUCGACAUCGAGAUCAACCGGGAGCCGGUUGGUCGCAUUAUGUUUCAGCUCUUCUCAGACAUAUGUCCAAAAACAUGCAAAAACUUCCUUUGCUUGUGCUCAGGAGAGAAAGGCCUUGGGAAAACAACUGGGAAGAAGUUAUGUUAUAAAGGUUCUACGUUCCAUCGUGUGGUUAAAAACUUUAUGAUUCAGGGUGGGGACUUCAGUGAAGGUAAUGGAAAAGGUGGAGAAUCAAUUUAUGGUGGAUAUUUUAAAGAGAAUGUGGUCUUUUGCAAAAUGAAAAGAUGAAAACUUUAUUCUCAAACAUGACAGAGCGUUCCUUUUGUCAAUGGCAAAUCGAGGGAAACAUACCAAUGGUUCCCAGUUUUUCAUAAAGAGUGUUACACCGUGCGCUCCAAAGGUAAUGUCUCAUUACUCUAAGGCUCUCUCUUUCUUUGCCUUUAUCUCUUUAAUUCUGUUGUUAUGUGCAUUGAAACAUUUUAAGAAAAAAAAAACUUUCUGCUUUAUCUGUAUAGCAGCAGUACAUGUAAAACAAGUGCAUUUUAUUUUUCAUGGUUAAUCCUGGGAACUAUAUUUUAACUUCAGUGGCUUGUUUCCACCAAGUUCCUGUACAUCUUCUGGUGGGGGAGUGGGGUUAUUA